CUUGACCUCAAAUCAGGUGGGACUACCCGCUGAACUUAAGCAUAUCAAUAAGCGGAGGAAAAGAAACUAACAAGGAUUCCCCUAGUAACUGCGAGUGAAGCGGGAAAAGCUCAAAUUUAAAAUCUGGCGGCUCAGGUCGUCCGAGUUGUAGUCUGGAGAAGCGUUUUCCGCGYUGGACCGUGUACAAGUCUCCUGGAACGGAGCGUCGUAGAGGGUGAGAAUCCCGUCUUUGACACGGACCCCAGUGCUUUGUGAUGCGCUCUCAAAGAGUCGAGUUGUUUGGGAAUGCAGCUCAAAAUGGGUGGUGAAUUCCAUCUAAAGCUAAAUAUUGGCGAGAGACCGAUAGCGAACAAGUACCGUGAGGGAAAGAUGAAAAGCACUUUGGAAAGAGAGUUAAACAGUACGUGAAAUUGUUGAAAGGGAAACGCUUGAAGUCAGUCGCGUCGUCCAGGACUCAGCCUCACGGUGUACUUCCUGGUUGACGGGCCAGCAUCAGUUUUGACCGCGAGAUAAAGGCGUAGGGAAUGUGGCCUCUUCGGGAGUGUUAUAGCCCUUCGUCARAUGUCGUGGUUGGGACUGAGGACCGCAGCUUUUUUGCUUAGGAUGCUGGCGUAAUGGCUUUAAACGACCNDUCUUGAAACACGGACCAAGGAGUCUAACAUGCCUGCGAGUGUUCGGGUGGAAAACCCGUGCGCGUAAUGAAAGUGAAAGUUGGGAUCCCUGUCGUGGGGUGCACCGACGCCCGGACCAGACCUUCUGUGACGGAUCUGCGGUAGAGCAUGUAUGUUGGGACCCGAAAGAUGGUGAACUAUGCCUGAAUAGGGUGAAGCCAGAGGAAACUCUGGUGGAGGCUCGUAGCGAUUCUGACGUGCAAAUCGAUCGUCAAAUUUGGGUAUAGGGGCGAAAGACUAAUCGAACCAUCUAGUAGCUGGU
Molecule: ribosomal RNA, 933 nt
Filed under: Confertotrama macrospora
Lineage: Eukaryota; Fungi; Basidiomycota; Agaricomycetes; Russulales; Stereaceae
Description: eukaryotic LSU rRNA
Rfam family: Eukaryotic large subunit ribosomal RNA
Source: RNAcentral